AUUGAACGCUGGCGGCAUGCCUUACACAUGCAAGUCGAACGGCAGCACGGACUUCGGUCUGGUGGCGAGUGGCGAACGGGUGAGUAAUGCAUCGGAACGUACCCGGUAGUGGGGGAUAACUACCCGAAAGGGUGGCUAAUACCGCAUAUACUGUGCGCAGGAAAGCAGGGGACCUUCGGGCCUUGUGCUACCGGAGCGGCCGAUGUCAGAUUAGGUAGUUGGCGGGGUAACGGCCUACCAAGCCUGCGAUCUGUAGCGGGUCUGAGAGGAUGAUCCGCCACACUGGGACUGAGACACGGCCCAGACUCCUACGGGAGGCAGCAGUGGGGAAUUUUGGACAAUGGGCGCAAGCCUGAUCCAGCCAUGCCGCGUGAGUGAAGAAGGCCUUCGGGUUGUAAAGCUCUUUCGGACGGAAAGAAAUCGCGCAGGCUAAUAUCCUGUGCGGAUGACGGUACCGUCAUAAGAAGCACCGGCUAACUACGUGCCAGCAGCCGCAGUAA
RNAcentral lists this ribosomal RNA (500 nucleotides) under uncultured bacterium. Its description in RNAcentral is "partial 16S ribosomal RNA". It matches the Rfam family "Bacterial small subunit ribosomal RNA", at positions 30 to 523 of the family's 1533-position model. The record is from RNAcentral.